RNAcentral lists this ribosomal RNA (320 nucleotides) under uncultured bacterium. RNAcentral describes it as "bacterial SSU rRNA". It matches the Rfam family "Bacterial small subunit ribosomal RNA", at positions 470 to 789 of the family's 1533-position model. The record is from RNAcentral.
UGACGGUACCUGACUAAGAAGCACCGGCUAAAUACGUGCCAGCAGCCGCGGUAAUACGUAUGGUGCAAGCGCUAUCCGGAUUUACUGGGUGUAAAGGGAGCGCAGGUGGCCUGGCAAGCCAGAAGUGAAAGCCCGGGGCUUAACCCCGGGACUGCUUUUGGAACUGUUGGGCUGGAGUGCAGGAGGGGUAAGCGGAAUUCCUGGUGUAGCGGUGAAAUGCGUAGAUAUCAGGAGGAACACCGGUGGCGAAGGCGGCUUACUGGACUGUAACUGACACUGAGGCUCGAAAGCGUGGGGAGCAAACAGGAUUAGAUACCCUG